Molecule: small nucleolar RNA, 210 nt
Filed under: Oryza punctata
Lineage: Eukaryota; Viridiplantae; Streptophyta; Magnoliopsida; Poales; Poaceae
Description: snoRNA snoZ242
Source: RNAcentral
AGGGACCAGGACGAUGGCUGGCCAAAUCCAGCUGGUGAUGGAGCCAGAGAAGAGCCGGAGGCACGCGGCGGCCGGAGGUGGCGGCCCAUCGUCUCAGUAGAAUCUGCAGAGCAUGGUGGCUGGUCCGCAGUGUGUUGAUGCAAAAAAACACAUUGGCAUGAGAGAAUUGCUUAACUCUAGCGAAGGUCCAAAAUCUCGCUUUCGGUGUCA